This 360-nucleotide ribosomal RNA is filed under the name uncultured bacterium. RNAcentral's name for it is "bacterial SSU rRNA". It matches the Rfam family "Bacterial small subunit ribosomal RNA", at positions 28 to 334 of the family's 1533-position model. The record is from RNAcentral.
GAUAAACGCUGGCGGCGCACAUAAGACAUGCAAGUCGAACGGAAGUCGUUAUAAUGAUUUAGAAGUGGACAGAGAACUUGUUCAAAGAAAACGGACAUUGACUUAUAACAAUGGCUUUAGUGGCGGACUGGUGAGUAACGCGUGAGCAACCUGCCUGUUAGAGGGGAAUAACAGUGAGAAAUCAUUGCUAAUACCGCAUAUGCCAUAGAAAUCACAUGAUUUCAGUGGGAAAGGAGUAAUCCGCUAACAGAUGGGCUCGCGUCUGAUUAGAUAGUUGGUGGGGUAACGGCCUACCAAGUCGACGAUCAGUAGCCGGACUGAGAGGUUGAACGGCCACAUUGGGACUGAGAUACGGCCCAG